AGCAAAAGACCAAUCACGAAUCACCUUCAAGACUUCAUAGCCACGCCCUAGCAACCAUUUAGAGCACCCUAGCAACCCAAAGCACAUAGGGAUAUCUUCAAAUCUGAAUGUCAUAAAGCCAUAAGGGUUGGUUUAUAUCAUUCAUACUGGCAACCAGCCUUUGGAGUAUCAUCACUGGCAGCUGUCAGGCCACUCCCUAGCAACCAAACAGAGUACCCUAGCAACCGUUUUUCAAGAUCUAUAUCUCUGCAUCAGAACAUCGUACAGACAUGGAGGUUGGUUUACAUUGGCAAGCAGCCUUUGGAGUAUCAUCACUGGCAGCUGUCAGGCCACUCCCUAGCAACCAAACACAGUACCCUAGCAACC
This is a long non-coding RNA of Cyprinus carpio carpio, 366 nucleotides long. Lineage: Eukaryota; Metazoa; Chordata; Actinopteri; Cypriniformes; Cyprinidae. The record is from Ensembl.